GUGCUUUUAGGUACUUCAAGCACCGGUCACCGUUCUCGUCGAACCCGUCGCUUGCGACGAAGGGCUCGACGAGUAAAUUAACUCUCAGACACAGCCCACUGAGUUUCUCGCCGGAUCUUCUCAGUGGGUCGCGUUUCCGAUCCGGUGGUAGAUUCUGCGAAGCACGACUCUUGCUAGGGUUCGUGUUAGCAACAUCGUCAGGUUUGAGCCCCGUGAGCUCACCUACUAAAGUUAGGGUUACGCUGAAAUAGCCGCUAGGGCUAUCAGCUUAGGUAGGAAAAAAAAAAAAAAAAAAUAAAUAAAUAGGCCUACUAAUAGUACCUACUCGUGAAAACUGCAGAAAAUAAAAUAGAUAGGUAGUGUUCAUACUUUUUUGUUUUGCUUCGCCGAUCUUGCAUUCCGUAGAUUAUAUACACUAAUUUAUAACAUUACAUUCUCUUUGAUUGUUUUCGACUAUUUAUUUGCAGUGUCAGUAAUGACAUUUAGGGUAGGUACCAAUUUUUCAAUUUUCUUAUUUUUUUCAUUAAAUUUUAUUUGAAAAUGCCUAAGUAUUAUCGGUUCAGAGCCACGUCCCCUACGAGGAGACCGAAGAGGUGCCGAGAUAAGGAAAGAGAAAGAGAAGCAGAAAAAUUUAAUGUGAAUACGGAGUUGAACAACUGGCUCGAUGUAACCUUGGCUUGUCAGCCGGCACCAAACUGGUACAUGAGACGGACAGCUUGGCGCGAGAGUCCGCCCCUGAUGGGCGUUCCAAGACAACUAGCAGCCGGACUGAGAGCUUCAGUGCAGCUGACUAAUAGACCGAUAUUCAUUUUCAAAAUCCCUUCAGUGCGAUCUCAGGAUUGGCUAAGUCUUUUGUAAUGUUCGAUUUUGGUAUUAAUCACAGAAUUGUUUAUGUGUUUUAUUUUCAGUUUUUUUUAUAAGAUCAUUUAAAUUUAUUAUAUACAGCGCUAUGUUCAGGCUUUGGUUUUCAUUAAAAUAAUGUAAAAGCAAAA
This is a long non-coding RNA of Bombyx mori (domestic silkworm), 992 nucleotides long. RefSeq lists it as uncharacterized. The transcript has 2 exons. The record is from RefSeq and is a predicted model, not a curated record. Lineage: Eukaryota; Metazoa; Arthropoda; Insecta; Lepidoptera; Bombycidae.